This 833-nucleotide long non-coding RNA is filed under the name Nicotiana benthamiana. RNAcentral describes it as "long non-coding RNA (NBEN_LNC027744)". Lineage: Eukaryota; Viridiplantae; Streptophyta; Magnoliopsida; Solanales; Solanaceae. The record is from RNAcentral.
AAAUAGUUCGGAACGGAAAAAGCCCAUUAGGCCCGCGAGCCCGGCCCAUUUAGCCCGCGACCAUGUGGGCUUAGGACUGUCGUGGGCCGGUUCCACCCAUUGGGACCAUUUGGGCCGGCUCACCAAGCCCAGCCCUUCUAAAGAUCGGAACCGUUUGGGCCAGCCUGUUUAGGCCCGGACCCGGCCCAGAAUACAGUCUUAUAAUAAAGUAGUUUUCGUUGAUGCUUACAAUUACUAGUUAUGAUAAGAUCUGUCAUUUAGAGCUCUGUGGUUGUCCCAAAGGACUUCGGGCAUACCAAUUUAAAUGCGUUAAUGUUGCGAGUUGCAAGGCUUCUAUGUGUGAAGUUUGAUGAGUUUAAUUUCAAGUAUAGCGUACUUACAGAUUUAUGUCUGGUCUAUUUACCUUGGAUUAAAGUUUUCUUUGUGUAUUUCUUUGAUUGGUUUCAGUUCUUCCUAAAAAUACUGCUCUGGCAAACUUACUAAAAUAAGCUUGAAAUACAUUAACUGGUAUUGAUGAGAGAACAAUAAAAGAAUAAAUAAAUUUUCACAAAUAGUAGUUUCUUUCGUUAAUUGACUUAGCUUGUUCUGAUACUCCAUUUAUCGUUGGCUCUUACUGCUGCGUAAAAAGUUCCAAGUUGAUGUAUCUUGUUCCUUUUCUCAAACACUGAUUCAAAUAUAAAUUUUUGUAGAUGUUAAUUCACGAAUGAAGGAAGAUAUGAAAGCACGUUUCGAUUCUACAACAACGAAUAAAGGGUGUGUAUGAUAUGAAAGAAAAUAUUGUUGAAAUUUUCGAUGCUUGGUUAGUUUAAAUGUUUUGAAAAACUGUAUUCUCA